AGGUGAUGAUGUCCAAUCUCACGAUGGUCUGCAGAGCCCCCAGGGGCUGCUGACAAUGCCUUUGGCACGUGCUGAGCCACGAGG
RNAcentral lists this small nucleolar RNA (84 nucleotides) under Acanthisitta chloris (rifleman). Its description in RNAcentral is "Small nucleolar RNA SNORD35". It matches the Rfam family "Small nucleolar RNA SNORD35". From Rfam's summary of the family: U35 is a C/D box snoRNA located in intron 6 of ribosomal protein L13A and intron 3 of ribosomal protein S11 in humans and at homologous positions in mouse and chicken ribosomal protein genes. U35 guides the methylation of 2'-O-ribose sites in 28S rRNA. The record is from Rfam by way of RNAcentral. Lineage: Eukaryota; Metazoa; Chordata; Aves; Passeriformes; Acanthisittidae.